UUCUUAUAAUCAGGCAAGCUUUAUCGAUGGCAGCUCAACUGUCAGUCUUCAGCAGGAAUAUGAUGGUGUAAGCUGGUAGUGAUUGCUAUCUCCAUUGUCUAGUUUUGACAGAGUUUAACUUCAGCUCCUUUGAACACUGUUAAGUAUUUCCAACUGAAUGAAGGCAGAGUCUGCAUUAUUGUUAAUCAAGUGAACUGAGAGAAGCCCACAUACACUUCAGAGCUAAGAGCUUGUGAACAUCAGAGAGCUGAAGAAAGCUUGUCUAAAGUGGAAUUUAUUAGAAGUUCAUGACAAUGACUACAAAGCACACUUUGGUGGAGAGCGCUUUCUUCUCUUACAGUUUUUGGAUUGAAUUCAAGACUCCAGGAAACUCAAGUCUUCUGUGCCUGUGUGCAUUCAAAAUACUUCAGCAGAACUCAGUAGAGCUGUGCAGAAGUAAGCUUGAGCCACGCCCUUCCCAUGAUAUUCAAAACAUCUCCUAA
This 482-nucleotide long non-coding RNA is filed under the name Numida meleagris (helmeted guineafowl). RNAcentral's name for it is "lncRNA (ENSNMEG00000011457.1)". The record is from RNAcentral. Lineage: Eukaryota; Metazoa; Chordata; Aves; Galliformes; Numididae.